CCUACGGGAGGCAGCAGUGGGGGAUAUUGGACAAUGGGGGGAACCCUGAUCCAGCGACGCCGCGUGAGUGAAGAAGUAUUUCGGUAUGUAAAGCUCUGUCAGCAGGGAAGAGCAGAAGACGGUACCUGACUAAGAAGCCCCUGCUAACUACGUGCCAGCAGCCGCGGUAAUACGUAGGGGGCAAGCGUUAUCCGGAUGUACUGUGUGUAAAGGGAGCGUAGGCGGCGAUGCAAGUCAGAAGUGAAAGCCCGGGGCUCAACUCCGGGACUGCUUUUGAAACUGUGUGGCUAGAUUGCAGGAGAGGUAAGUGGAAUUCCUGGUGUAGCGGUGAAAUGCGUAGAUAUUAGGAGGAACACCAGUGGCGAAGGCGGCUUACUGGACUGUAAAUGACGCUGAGGCUCGAAAGCGUGGGGAGCAAACAGGAUUAGAUACCCUGGUAGUC
Molecule: ribosomal RNA, 442 nt
Filed under: uncultured bacterium
Lineage: Bacteria
Description: partial 16S ribosomal RNA
Rfam family: Bacterial small subunit ribosomal RNA
Source: RNAcentral